CAACACUCAAGGUCAGUUUGGCACCUGUGCCCAGCAGAAACGCUACGAAUGAUGCCAUCCCCAAGAUAAGAUUUCCCUUGAGGGUCGUAGGAGAUGACUACGUUGAUAGGCAGUAGGUGUAAAGGCAGUGAUGUCAAAGCCGAGCUGUACUAAUAGCCCGAAAGUCUUUCUUAG
Molecule: ribosomal RNA, 174 nt
Filed under: Alistipes sp. OttesenSCG-928-L06
Lineage: Bacteria; Pseudomonadati; Bacteroidota; Bacteroidia; Bacteroidales; Rikenellaceae
Description: partial 23S ribosomal RNA
Rfam family: Bacterial large subunit ribosomal RNA
Source: RNAcentral